This 517-nucleotide ribosomal RNA is filed under the name uncultured bacterium. Its description in RNAcentral is "bacterial SSU rRNA". It matches the Rfam family "Bacterial small subunit ribosomal RNA", at positions 355 to 865 of the family's 1533-position model. The record is from RNAcentral.
UGGGGAAUUUUGGACAAUGGGCGCAAGCCUGAUCCAGCAAUGCCGCGUGCAGGAAGAAGGCCUUCGGGUUGUAAACUGCUUUUGUACGGAACGAAACGGUCCUGGUUAAUACCUGGGGCUAAUGACGGUACCGUAAGAAUAAGCACCGGCUAACUACGUGCCAGCAGCCGCGGUAAUACGUAGGGUGCAAGCGUUAAUCGGAAUUACUGGGCGUAAAGCGUGCGCAGGCGGUUUUGUAAGACAGGCGUGAAAUCCCCGGGCUUAACCUGGGAAUGGCGUUUGUGACUGCAAAGCUGGAGUGCGGCAGAGGGGGAUGGAAUUCCGCGUGUAGCAGUGAAAUGCGUAGAUAUGCGGAGGAACACCGAUGGCGAAGGCAAUCCCCUGGGCCUGCACUGACGCUCAUGCACGAAAGCGUGGGGAGCAAACAGGAUUAGAUACCCUGGUAGUCCACGCCCUAAACGAUGUCAACUGGUUGUUGGGUGUCUUCUGACUCAGUAACGAAGCUAACGCGUGAAGU